GGGAUAGAAUUCCAGGAGUAGCGGUGAAAUGCGUAGAUAUCUGGAGGAAUACCAAAGGCGAAGGCAGUCCCCUGGUCCGAUACUGACACUGAGGUACGAAAGCGUGGGGAGCAAACAGGAUUAGAUACCCUGGUAGUCCACGCCCUAAACGAUGUCGAUUAGCCAUUGGAAGGACCCCUUUUCCUUUCAGUGGCGUAGCUAACGCGUUAAAUCGACCGCCUGGGAAGUACGACCGCAAGGUUAAAACUCAAAGGAAUUGACGGGGACCUGAACAAGCGGUGAAUGAUGUGGAUUAAUUCGAUGCUACGCGAAGAACCUUACCUACCUUUGACAUGGCCAAAGUUCUACCGAGAGGCGGAAGUACUCGUAAGAGGAUUGGCGCACAGGUGCUGCAUGGUUGUCGUCAGUUCGUGUCGUGAGAUGUUGGGUUCAGUCCCGCAACGAACGCAACCCUUAUCUUUAAUUGCUCCUAUUUUAACAGGCACUUUAAAGAAACUGCCAAUGAUAAGUUGGAGGGAGGUGGGGAUCACGUCAAGUCCGCAUGGCCUUUAUAGGUAGGGCUUCACACGUCAUACAAUGGUUAGAACAAAGAGCUGCAAAUUCGUAAGAAGGAGCCAAUCUCACAAACCUAACCUCAGUUCGAAUUGCGGUCUGCAACUCGAGCGCAUGAAGCCGGAAUCGCUAGUAAUCGUGGAUCAGAAUGCCACGGUGAAUACGUUCUUAGGUCUU
Molecule: ribosomal RNA, 729 nt
Filed under: Candidatus Tremblayella phenacoccinincola
Lineage: Bacteria; Pseudomonadati; Pseudomonadota; Betaproteobacteria
Description: bacterial SSU rRNA
Rfam family: Bacterial small subunit ribosomal RNA
Source: RNAcentral